CCGGCACACUGACUUGAUUGGCCUCUGGGGCGACUGCAAUAUAAAUAUUAAAUACUAGUAACAAAGCAUACUUCUAAAUAUGUUUAAGGAUGAAACAGAGACUCCCUGCACCACCUCCCCAUAAAAAUACACGAGAGAGACCCAACCCAAAUAUCCUGUAGCCCAGUUUGAGAUGCAGGAAUUUGAAGAUCCCGUAUGAAUCCUCUCUAAGGCCUUGUCUACACCAGAAAGACUUCAGGGAAAUGAUGAAAAAGGGUCAAGACACCUGGGUAUCCUUUGAUAUUCACAAAUGAGAGAAUAAACUAAUUAGUUCAUGCAAACUUUCUGCACUCUACAUAGAAACCAUUCCUAUCACACUUCAAAUCUUC
This is a long non-coding RNA of Mauremys reevesii (Reeves's turtle), 368 nucleotides long. RefSeq lists it as uncharacterized. The transcript has 4 exons. NCBI's taxonomy places the organism in Eukaryota, Metazoa, Chordata, Testudines, Geoemydidae. The record is from RefSeq and is a predicted model, not a curated record.